GGGGAACUGAAACAUCUAAGUACCCCGAGGAAAAGAAAUCAACCGAGAUUCCCCCAGUAGCGGCGAGCGAACGGGGAGGAGCCCAGAGCCUGAAUCAGCAUGUGUGUUAGUGGAAGCGUCUGGAAAGGCGCGCGAUACAGGGUGACAGCCCCGUACACAAAAGCGCAUGUGCUGUGAGCUCGAUGAGUAGGGCGGGACACGUGGUAUCCUGUCUGAAUAUGGGGGGACCAUCCUCCAAGGCUAAAUACUCCUGACUGACCGAUAGUGAACCAGUACCGUGAGGGAAAGGCGAAAAGAACCCCGGCGAGGGGAGUGAAAAAGAACCUGAAACCGUGUACGUACAAGCAGUGGGAGCCCCACCACUAAGCCAGUGGUGAACUCCACAUACGCAUCCUUUGCUGAAGGCAAUGGUUAACGGAGCGAAAGCGACGUUCAACCGCAAAACAAGCAGAGGGGGCUUAGUGGUGGGGUGACUGCGUACCUUUUGUAUAAUGGGUCAGCGACUUAUAUUCUGUAGCAAGGUUAACCGUAUAGGGGAGCCGGAGGGAAACCGAGUCUUAAUUGGGCGUUAAGUUGCAGGGUAUAGACCCGAAACCCGGUGAUCUAGCCAUGGGCAGGUUGAAGGUUGGGUAACACUAACUGGAGGACCGAACCGACUAAUGUUGAAAAAUUAGCGGAUGACCUGUGGCU
RNAcentral lists this ribosomal RNA (690 nucleotides) under Salmonella enterica subsp. enterica serovar Thompson. RNAcentral describes it as "bacterial LSU rRNA". It matches the Rfam family "Bacterial large subunit ribosomal RNA", at positions 187 to 816 of the family's 2925-position model. RNAcentral also lists the same sequence under 1 other name. Lineage: Bacteria; Pseudomonadati; Pseudomonadota; Gammaproteobacteria; Enterobacterales; Enterobacteriaceae. The record is from RNAcentral.